GAUGGAUAAACUAUGCAUUUGAUUUGUGGCUAAGCUAUAUCCUAACCUGUUGAUAUGAUUUCAUUGGUAACAUUUACUUUUCUGUGGUUUGUUUUGGUUAUCACUUCUGGAGCUGGUUGGUGAUCUUCCGUUGUCAACUUCCAUGCAAGCUUUUGCCUUCUGUAAGUGAGGCAGUUUGGUUCAACUUUUACUUUUGUUUGUAGGUAAGAUGUUGAUGCUUCGGAUUUCAGGUUGCUUGUGCUGUAUUACCAACACGGAUAAUGGUUGUGUUUUGAUUUUUUUACACUGACAAAUUGCUAUUAUUUUCUAGUUCUUUUCACGGUUUCCAACUUAGGUAUUAAAUAUGUUAAUUUGUUGAUUUGGGUGGCUACCAAGUCUCGUGAAUCUUUUGCUGACCUUUUCUAUCCCUUGCUGGAGUCUAACCCACUGGUACAGGAUCUGCCUUCUGCUUAUGCAUACUUGGUAUUCUAGCAGACUACGCUAGUAAAAUUUUGUAGCUUUUCUAGUAUUGAGUUUCAUCAACUCCUUGUGACACAACUUGAUUUUACUUCUGGAAUGUUUUACAUAAUUGUGACAAAGGAAAGAUUUUGUUGCUCUUUAUGAUGGGUAGGUUGGUAAUGCGGGUUACUUUUAGCAUAAGGCUACUGUCAGUGUAAUGACUUUCUAUAGCUUUUUGAUGUUUCUUUUUUUCUUACCCUUUUUUUUUUAAUGUUUUCUGGAAGCUUCCGUCUUCGAUCCCAUUGGCAUAUGAUCCAAGUACUUCUAACAUUAUGUAUUUGCCAAUGUAAAAAAUAGCUAAUAUCUACUAACAUAUUAUCAAGGUUCAACAGGAAAUUCUUCUUUUCUCUUCUUUCUUGACCUUUUGAAUUUAUUUAUUUAGAGGUAGCCGGGCAGACAAGGUUCAUUCAUCAUGAGAUCUUGGUAUAGGUAGAUGUACAUUUAAUCAUGACACUGAGCUCACUGGCGAGCAGUCUUAUUUCAUGUGUUGCUGCCCGUUUAUUCCACAUAAUGGAUAACACCAACAGGGAAAGAAUCUCUUUGAACCUGUUCAUGUCGUAUGGAGCAUAACAAAUUUUCAUUGUUCCGUGCUUUUUUUAUUUUUGUGAACUCUGAUUUAUGAUUUUGACUGUUUGAACUGCCCGGGAGUGAGGGGAGUGUUUCAUUCUUUGUUGAACUGUUUGAACUGUUUCAUCUCUAUGAAGUUUUGAGGCCUUUUUGCAGGUAGUUCAAGUGAAGUAUAUAUCGUGGUUCUAGUGUUGAAUUUAUGGCCUGUCUUAUUGACAUCCACCCUAUAAAUCUUGGGGGUUUAUGCUUUAGGGCUGUAGCUGCCGCUAUGGUUCCUAGAUAGAUGCUGGUCAGAAAAGCCUAUAGGUACCAAUGUAAUUUUGGGUUUACAACUGACUGGAAGGUCUAGGGUGUUGGUCUUGAAGUUUUUUACGUUGGACACAGUUUCAUACCGAAAAUGGCCCCAUGUGAUUUCUAUUUUAACCCAUUAUUAGAUCACUCCUAUUUUAACCUUAUUUGGUUCAGCUGUUUGCCAAAACAUGCCCCACAUAUGUUUGUUUUCCUUGGUUUGACCGCACCAUUCUGAAUUGACAGUUGCAAACUCUGAAUUUUAGGAUUGUUCAGAGAAUGUUUUUCCUGAAGUGUAUUAUUAGUUGAUCAACAGAAAAUGUGAAAUAGCAAUGCUAGGUUAUUUCCUGGACUUUUUUAUUUUUAUAGGUGUCUUAGGAUGAUUCUUCCGCUGAUGAUCUUGUGUGUGUGUGUAUUUCUUUAUUUUGUAACGCUUACGAAGUGUUGCUUACGCAUUGUGGUGGCAAUUUCACAUGCAACUUGAAGUUUUGCUAACUGCUCACAGUUGAUUGAUCUCUUGAAGCUCAGGGGUGGUACAUGAGAAACAAAUAUGUGCUCCCAAAAGUUUGAUUCUGGGAAAGAUUGCCGGUCUUUUUCUGAAGGCGAACUCCAUUUGCGCAAUGCUAAGCUAUUCUUAGUUUAAUGUCAAACAGUUAAAUGAGGGAUUCUAGCUUUGAUUUUGUACUGUUGUGUGAAAGGUGUUGGAAAUGCAAAUGUAAAUUUGCCAAAUACAUAUUGCCAGGAACACCACUGGAUCUGGAAAGAACUGGAGGCGGUUUGGGAA
Long non-coding RNA from Dioscorea cayenensis subsp. rotundata (Guinea yam), 2137 nucleotides. RefSeq lists it as uncharacterized. Lineage: Eukaryota; Viridiplantae; Streptophyta; Magnoliopsida; Dioscoreales; Dioscoreaceae. The record is from RefSeq and is a predicted model, not a curated record. The transcript is spliced from 2 exons.